GGGAGGGUAGCGAAGAGGCUAAACGCGGCAGACUGUAAAUCUGCUACCUGAUGGUUUCGGCAGUUCGAAUCUGCCCCUUCCCACCA
Molecule: transfer RNA, 86 nt
Filed under: Erysipelotrichaceae bacterium
Lineage: Bacteria; Bacillati; Bacillota; Erysipelotrichia; Erysipelotrichales; Erysipelotrichaceae
Description: tRNA-Tyr
Rfam family: tRNA
About the family: Transfer RNA (tRNA) molecules are approximately 80 nucleotides in length.
Source: RNAcentral